RNAcentral lists this ribosomal RNA (2122 nucleotides) under human gut metagenome. RNAcentral describes it as "bacterial LSU rRNA". It matches the Rfam family "Bacterial large subunit ribosomal RNA", at positions 14 to 2152 of the family's 2925-position model. The record is from RNAcentral.
AGGGCAUACGGCGGAUGCCUAGGCGCCAUCAGCCGAUGAAGGACGCGGUAAGCUGCGAAAAGCUACGGGGAACUGCAAGCAAGUAUUGAUCCGUAGAUGUCCGAAUGGGGAAACCCACCUGCCGUCAUGGGCAGGUAUCCGAAAGGAAGGGAACCCGGGGAACUGAAACAUCUAAGUACCCGGAGGAAGAGAAAUCAAACGAGAUGCCCACAGUAGCGGCGAGCGAAGAGGGCAGAGGGCAAACCGGGGAGCUACGGCUCUCCGGGGUUGAGGACUGCAUUUAGUCUUAAUGGUUUAUCCGAACUACCUGGAAAGGUAGGCAACACAGUGUAAAAGCCACGUAGGUUAAAGGCCGGAGAGAUGAGCAGUAUCCAGAGUACCACGAGGCACGAGGAAUCUUGUGGGAAGCCGGGGGGACCACCCUCCAACCCUAAACACUGAAUGGCGACCGAUAGCGCAUAGUACCGUGAGGGAAAGGUGAAAAGAACCCCGGGAGGGGAGUGAAAGAGAACCUGAAACCGUAUGUCUACAAGCAGUCGGAGCGAAAGCGACGGCGUGCCUAUUGAAGAAUGAACCAACGAGUUACGUGCACUAGCGAGGUUAAGUGGAAGACACGGAGCCGAAGCGAAAGCGAGUCUUAAGAGGGCGGAUAGUUAGUGUACGUAGACCCGAAACCGCAGUGAUCUACCCAUGUCCAGGUUGAAGCGCAGGUAAAAUUGCGUGGAGGACCGAACCUGUGAGCGUUGAAAAGCUUUAGGAUGAGAUGUGGGUAGAGGUGAAAUUCCAAUCGAACGCGGAGAUAGCUGGUUCUCCCCGAAAUAGCUUUAGGGCUAGCCUCAAGUAGUAAGUAUAGGCGGUAGAGCACUGAUCGGGCUAGGGGCCAUAAAGGUUACCGAACCCUGUCAAACUCCGAAUGGUUAUACUGUAGAGCUUGGGAGUCAGACUACGAGUGAUAAGAUCCGUGGUCAAAAGGGAAACAGCCCAGACCACCAGCUAAGGUCCCCAAUGUCGUACUAAGUGGAAAAGGAUGUGGGGUCUCUAAAACAACCAGGAUGUUGGCUUAGAAGCAGCCACUCAUUUAAAGAGUGCGUAAUAGCUCACUGGUCGAGAGACCCUGCGCCGAAGAUUACCGGGGCUAAAGUACGAAACCGAAGCUGUGGCUACGACAUAUGUCGUGGGGUAGGGGAGCGUUCUGUGAGGGCUGAAGUCGUUCUGUAAGGAACGGUGGACUUCACAGAAGUGAGAAUGUUGGUAUGAGUAGCGAAAAGAAUGGUGAGAAUCCAUUCCACCGAAAGCAUAAGGAUUCCUGGGCAACGAUCGUCGUCCCAGGGUAAGUCGGGACCUAAUCCGAGGCAUGGAGCGUAGGAGAUGGACAACUGGCAGAUAUUCCAGUACCGGUAAUGAUUGUUUGAGCGAUGGAGUGACACAGGAGGGCAGGCAGGCAGGAGAUUGGUUGUUCCUGUACAAGCGUGUAGGAUGGGACGCAGGCAAAUCCGCGUCCUGUGAGUCUGAGGCGUGAUGUGGAGGUUCCGGAAACGGAACUGAAGCUGCUGACCCCACACUGUCGAGAAAAGCUUCUAGUUAGAGAAUUACCGCCCGUACCGUAAACCGACACAGGUAUGCGGGGAGAGAAUCCUAAGGUGCGCGGGAGAACCCUCGUUAAGGAACUCGGCAAAAUGUACCCGUAACUUCGGGAUAAGGGUAGCCGCUGUUGUGAAGUCUGAACAGACGGAGCAUGAGGCGGUCGCAGAGAAGAGGCCCAAGCGACUGUUUACCACAAACACAGGUGCCUGCUAAAGAGAAAUCUGACGUAUAGGUGCUGACACCUGCCCAGUGCCGGAAGGUUAAGGAAGGAUGUCCGGAGCAAUCCAAAGCAUUCGACCGAAGCCCCGGUGAACGGCGGCCGUAACUAUAACGGUCCUAAGGUAGCGAAAUUCCUUGUCGGGUAAGUUCCGACCCGCACGAAAGGUGUAACGAUUUGGGCACUGUCUCAACGAGGGACCCGGUGAAAUUGAAGUACCUGUGAAGAUGCAGGUUACCCGCGACUGGACAGAAAGACCCCAUGGAGCUUUACUGUAACCUGACAUUGGGUUCUGAUACAUCACGUACAGGAUAGGUGGGA